UUUCCGUAGGCGAACCUGCGGAAGGAUCAAUUCAGAGUUUGUACCUGUAUUCAGGUCAUCUCUCAUUCCUGUGAUAUCAUUUAAUGUCUAUAUUCAGAUUUCAGAGUCUUGAUAUCUGGAAGACUAUCUUCAAACUCCUAGAUCUCUUUUGGUCUACAAUUUGACAAUAUAAAACUUUCAACAACGGAUCUCUUGGUUCUGGCAUCGAUGAAGAACGCAGC
RNAcentral lists this unclassified non-coding RNA (221 nucleotides) under uncultured fungus. RNAcentral describes it as "sequence contains ITS1, 5.8S rRNA gene". The stretch from base 173 to 221 matches the Rfam family "5.8S ribosomal RNA", at positions 1 to 49 of the family's 154-position model. The record is from RNAcentral. Lineage: Eukaryota; Fungi.